This 253-nucleotide ribosomal RNA is filed under the name uncultured bacterium. Its description in RNAcentral is "partial 16S ribosomal RNA". It matches the Rfam family "Bacterial small subunit ribosomal RNA", at positions 524 to 776 of the family's 1533-position model. The record is from RNAcentral.
UACGAAGGGAGCUAGCGUUGUUCGGAAUCACUGGGCGUAAAGCGCACGUAGGCGGAUUUGUCAGUCAGGGGUGAAAUCCCGGGGCUCAACCUCGGAACUGCCUUUGAUACAGCAAGUCUUGAGUUCGAGAGAGGUGGGUGGAAUUCCUAGUGUAGAGGUGAAAUUCGUAGAUAUUAGGAAGAACACCGGUGGCGAAGGCGGCCCACUGGCUCGAUACUGACGCUGAGGUGCGAAAUCGUGGGGAGCAAACAGG